AACGAACGCUGGCGGCAUGCCUAACACAUGCAAGUCGAACGAGACCUUCGGGUCUAGUGGCGCACGGGUGCGUAACACGUGGGAAUUUGCCUCGGGGUAUGGAAUAACUCAGGGAAACUUGAGCUAAUACCAUAUAAUGUCUUCGGACCAAAGAUUUAUCGCCCUGAGAUAAGCCCGCGUAGGAUUAGCUAGUUGGUGGGGUAAAGGCUCACCAAGGCGACGAUCCUUAGCUGGUCUGAGAGGAUGAUCAGCCACACUGGGACUGAGACACGGCCCAGACUCCUACGGGAGGCAGCAGUGGGGAAUCUUAGACAAUGGGCGCAAGCCUGAUCUAGCCAUGCCGCGUGAGCGAUGAAGGCCUUAGGGUUGUAAAGCUCUUUCAGAUGGGAAGAUAAUGACGGUACCAUCAGAAGAAGCCCCGGCUAACUCCGUGCCAGCAGCCGCGGUAAAGGUG
Molecule: ribosomal RNA, 454 nt
Filed under: uncultured bacterium
Lineage: Bacteria
Description: bacterial SSU rRNA
Rfam family: Bacterial small subunit ribosomal RNA
Source: RNAcentral